UCUCCUAUCUGAGCAACUCCACACCAACAAAUCACAGGAAGGGUAGAAGCUGAACGAACCCCCCUCCCUCCCCCGAAGGAAUGUAAGAAGCAGAGAUGGGGGCAUGCCGUUGCCUCUGAGAGCCUGCGCCACUGCAACAUACAGACGACGACGCACCCCAUUCAUUCUGUCAGAGGCGAAGAGAGAAGCAGAGAGGCUCAUAGCAGUGGUGUCAGGAUUCAUCAAAUUCAUUGUUUUUAUUGUUUUCCUUAGGGACCCUCGAUCGGUAUGAUUUUUUUUUCCCAACGAGCAUGCUUGCAAUCUGUCGACACCGUGAUUGAUGCCAUAGCCAGUAUGUAAGCUUCUCCCGUCGGCAGGUGAAUCCGCAUAUUCGCACUUAACGUCAUAAUUUUGUCCAGGAGUAAGUCCUUCUUAUAGCCGUUCUCUUGAGUGUAGUACUGCCGCACUUGGGUUGAUCAUACCUGUGCAAAGGGAGUAGUCGUUGGGGGAAAAAUCACACUGCAUAAAAGGGGUUCUGCGUUGGUUGCGGGAGUGCCGGUGACAGUGGAGAUCAUUGCAUGUGCUGAGAGGUGUUCUUGCGCCUUCGUGGUUCGUCGGUGAAAGAUUUUGGAGAUUGAUUGCAAAGGCGGUGGUGCCGGGUUUAUUAGGUUAGGCGUUGGUACUGUGUGGGGUUCGGGAGGUGUGCGAGGCUGCAGCUUUGGAUUAUGUUCAUGUGGAAUGUGAGUAGAUUGAGUCGGUGGGUUUAGUCAAGAGAGGAUGGAGCAGCGGGUUGAUCUUUCUUGUUGCCAUCGAUGAAUGACAAGGGACAAUGACUGUAUGUAUCGGUUGAGUGCCAGGAGUAGGUAGUGGCAACUGUGGGUUUCUUGUGUUCAAUGGAACCGUAGUGGUCAUCUUUCCAUGAUCCUCGCAACGUCCAGACUCCCGCCAUGUCCAUUGUGGGAUGAGUCUUCUGAAUCGUAUAGCAGACAUGGCGAUGUUUACUUACACGUUCUUGUUUCUAUCUAUUCUUUGCUCCUCCAGUUCUAGAACAUGAGAAGAAAAUUUUCUAUGACCAGUACAAGCUUUCCUGUCGUCAGGAACUUCCCACUGCUAUCUCUCCGUUGAUUGCUGCUCCAUCACCGAAAGCGGUGACUAAAGAGAGCUAAAUCUGGCUGCGCUUCCCAAUAUUCGUUGGCGUCUGAUCAUACCUUGGAUCAACAUGGCGACAGUUGACGACAGUUUCCGAGCCGUGAUAUUAAUGCUAAUGUUGACGACGUUGGCAACGAGCACUCAGCAACCAGGUCCCAAACUGGGAUUUUUCAACUACUCGGGGAUGCAGGCAAUAAUUUGCUGCAUGGAUCACCCUGCCAAGACUUUGGAAGCGGGGGAUACCGUCUCCAUUCCGCUCACGCGCAGCGACCAGGCUUGCAUUGUAACCCUCAAAGACGGGGAGCACGCCACCGCCGUAAUUGACAAGGUGUUGCCCAGCCUCCACAACUUGGGCCAUUCUGUCUCUGUGGACAUCAACGAUACGUUCCUUUUCUUCGCUCUGGAUGAUACCCAAUAUCACCAAUAUGUCAACUUUCUCGAUUCUCAGGACAAGCAGAUCCCGAUCCAGAGGUCCUCCGAUCUCCAGCUAUGGACUAUGGAAGAGACCAUGAAUGACUGAUGAUGUCUUACGUAAUCCUUUCGGACCUUCCAACUUGUGGUCAAACAAGCAGCGAUGAGAUAAAGCGAAGCUCUCAUCGACCUUUGUGGAGCUGGAGCAAAUCACGGGGUGUAUCCAAAGCACGAGAUCAAAUACUCCCUCAACUAUAGAAGAUACUCGAAGCAAGCAACAGAAGAAUCUCAAGUUGCAUACAUACCGCAACAAGGAGGCCUCAAUCUCAGGUGCCAUCUGGUUCCACACCCCAUCCCUUCUGUGCAAAAUGUGGUCAAAACGUGCCGUUGCUGCAUGAAGUUAGUUCACAAAACAACCAUAUAGUAGGCUUCAUGAAUAUGGAGAUUUGAACGUGGUGCUUUCUACAUUCUUCCUGGAGCUGCUUCCUCAUUGCUUUUGACAACAUCCCAUUGAGGAGCAUGUCCCUCAACCAGUUGGCACCCAUACACCUCAAGGAUCUCCUGCUUCAGUCUCGAAGGCCUCAUAAUUCUUGUUUCUGUAUUGUUCUGAUGCUUCAUGCACCAGACGUUGUUCCUCUUAAUUUGGGUCUUCAGAAGCAGACUUGGAAGGGAGCAUGCGUUGAGCGAUGGCCUUCCUCAGUAGCGCAUGUGGGUUGUUGGAAAGAUCCAGCCCUGGUCCUCGAGAAUAAACAUUUAUGUAUGCAUGUGUGUGUGUAUAUAUACAAAAAUGAUAUUUUGGUAAGUGUA
Molecule: non-coding RNA, 2346 nt
Organism: Physcomitrium patens
Lineage: Eukaryota; Viridiplantae; Streptophyta; Bryopsida; Funariales; Funariaceae
Source: RefSeq, a predicted model, not a curated record